AGAAAAUAGAAAAGUAGCGUUUAAAAUAUUUUAAAAAUUUUAUUUUCAAUGCGUGACCUGGUAAUCAUAGGCUCAUUUUUUCAAAAAAUGAAAUAAAAUAAAGAAAUAUUGUUUUUUGAAAGUACUUACGUCAUUGCUUGGUAGAUGCUUUCAAUUCCGUAUCGCAUGGCAAAUUCGUCAACGAGUUCUUCACCAGGAGGGUCAAAAUAAACCUUCCAAGCGUCGUCGCCUCUGGCUUGAGGUAAAGUCACCAUUCCACUGUUUCCUUCGCAAAGGCUGUGGAAGAGGUUUUCGUGAAGGCACGUGUAUUGGACAUGGUUGUACCAGACGUCCAUCUCACCACUGAGAGUUCGAACCUCGAUGAUGGUUUGACCCAGGAAGUCAUCACUCUCCCUCGUCAAUUUCUGCCUCAAUUUUGACUUUAAGUCGUUAUCUUCAUCCCACACACGGACUUUUAUUCUGUCCGAUGAGUUGUGGCACUCGCUGAAAUUUCAAAAUUAGACUGGAUUCAACUCCUGUGGCAUCGUUUUCGUUCGUUUCUUCACUUUUCCUACUUGAACUGUGACAUAUGGAUCGGAAGUUCCACUCUUAUCCUUGGCAAUUAGUCCUUGAGCGCAGAUCACUGUUAAAUUCAUAAUUAACAAAUUAAAUAUUUUUCUUUUAAUUUCAAAUAUGCCUCGAAAAUUCCGAAAAAUACCAGGCACAGAAUAAGGCGAAUGUAGAUGAUAGAAUAUCCACUAAUCUCCACUAGUUAUACAUUAAUUUUGAAAAU
Molecule: long non-coding RNA, 772 nt
Organism: Belonocnema kinseyi
Lineage: Eukaryota; Metazoa; Arthropoda; Insecta; Hymenoptera; Cynipidae
Exons: 3
Source: RefSeq, a predicted model, not a curated record